CAGCAGUGGGGAAUUUUAGACAAUGGGGGCAACCCUGAUCCAGCCAUGCCGCGUGAGUGAAGAAGGCCUUCGGGUUGUAAAGCUCUUUCGUGAGGGAAGAAACGGCCAUAGUGAAUAGCUAUGGUUAUUGACGGUACCUCAAGAAGAAGCACCGGCUAACUACGUG
This 166-nucleotide ribosomal RNA is filed under the name uncultured bacterium. Its description in RNAcentral is "partial 16S ribosomal RNA". It matches the Rfam family "Bacterial small subunit ribosomal RNA", at positions 349 to 507 of the family's 1533-position model. The record is from RNAcentral.